This 758-nucleotide non-coding RNA is filed under the name Osbornellus sp. EMHAU-2015-Zz052506. Lineage: Eukaryota; Metazoa; Arthropoda; Insecta; Hemiptera; Cicadellidae. The record is from RNAcentral.
AUUUAGUUUUAUUCUAGCUAUUUUAUUUAGUUAUAUUCUAUGAAUUAUAUGGGUUAUAGUUUAAAUAUUUUUAUUCCAAUUUUUAGUAUUAUAGUUUAUAAGUUUUUAUUAAUUAGCAAUUGAUUUUUUUAUAAAAUAGAUUAAUAUUUGUGCCAGCAUUCGCGGUUACACAAUUUAUUUAAAUUAAUUUUUUAAGUUAUUAAUUUUUUAUUUUAAUAAUGGAAACAUAAUUUUUAUAUUUAAGUGGAAUUUAUAUUUUUAAUUAUAUUUCUUAAAAAAUUUUAAAAAGUUAAUUUAUUAAACUAGGAUUAGAUACCCUAUUAUAAUUAAUGUCAUUUUAACUUGAAUAUUAUUAGUUAUGUUCUUUAAAGCUCAAAGAAUUUGGCGGUAAAAUAUUUUUUUAGAGGAAUCUGUAAAAUAAUUGAUAAACCACGAUAAUUUAUACUUUAAUUGUAUUUGUAUACCGCUAUACUUAAUGAAUGUUUUGAUAAAAAAUUUUCUUUAACUUUUUAGAUAUAAAUUAGGUCAAGGUGCAGUUUUAUUAAAGUUAUUAUGGAUUACUUUAAUUAUAAACUAAUUAGAUAAAUUUCUAAUAGGUAAUUUUGAAUUAGGAUUUAAAAGUAAAAUUAAUUAAUUAGUUAUUUUGAAUUUUAAUCUAUUUUAUGUACAUAUCGCCCGUCACUCCUAAUUUAAGUUAGGAUAAGUCGUAACAAAGUAAUUUUACCGGAAGGUGAAGUUAGAAUGAAAAAUUCUUAUUA